Molecule: ribosomal RNA, 478 nt
Filed under: uncultured bacterium
Lineage: Bacteria
Description: partial 16S ribosomal RNA
Rfam family: Bacterial small subunit ribosomal RNA
Source: RNAcentral
GACGAACGCUGGCGGCGUGCUUAACACAUGCAAGUCGAACGGUAAGGCCCUUCGGGGUACACGAGUGGCGAACGGGUGAGUAACACGUGGGUGAUCUGCCCUGCACUUCGGGAUAAGCCUGGGAAACUGGGUCUAAUACCGGAUAGGACUCCGGACUGCAUGGUCUGGGGUGGAAAGCUUUUGCGGUGUGGGAUGGGCCCGCGGCCUAUCAGCUUGUUGGUGGGGUGAUGGCCUACCAAGGCGACGACGGGUAGCCGGCCUGAGAGGGUGACCGGCCACACGGGGACUGAGAUAGGGCGCAGACUGCUACGGGAGGCAGCAGUGGGGAAUAGUGCACAAUGGGCGCAAGCCUGAUGCAGCGACGCCGCGAGAGGGAUGACGGCCUUCGGGUUGUAAACCUCUUUCAGCAUCGACGAAGCGAAAGUGACGGUAGGUGCAGAAGAAGGACCGGCCAACUACGUGCCAGCCGCCGCAGUAA